UGCCUUGGUAGAAUGUUCGCCUUUAAAUGAAUACUUAGUAGUUCCAGGAGUGUAUAAUGUCGCUAAAUAGCGCGGAUAAAGCAGCAAUCGUUAAUGAAUUUAAGCGUGCCGAU
Legionella drancourtii LLAP12 is the source of this 113-nucleotide regulatory RNA element. It matches the Rfam family "Ribosomal S15 leader". Rfam says of the family: The E. coli Ribosomal S15 gene 5' UTR can form two alternative structures. One that is a series of three hairpins, The other includes a pseudoknot. This structure causes translational regulation of the S15 protein. The record is from Rfam. Lineage: Bacteria; Pseudomonadati; Pseudomonadota; Gammaproteobacteria; Legionellales; Legionellaceae.